This 492-nucleotide ribosomal RNA is filed under the name uncultured bacterium. RNAcentral describes it as "bacterial SSU rRNA". It matches the Rfam family "Bacterial small subunit ribosomal RNA", at positions 28 to 507 of the family's 1533-position model. The record is from RNAcentral.
GAUGAACGCUAGCUACAGGCUUAACACAUGCAAGUCGAGGGGAAACGACAUCGAAAGCUUGCUUUUGAUGGGCGUCGACCGGCGCACGGGUGAGUAACGCGUAUCCAACCUGCCCACCACUUGGGGAUAACCUUGCGAAAGUAAGACUAAUACCCAAUGACGUCUCUAGAAGACAUCUGAAAGAGAUUAAAGAUUUAUCGGUGAUGGAUGGGGAUGCGUCUGAUUAGCUUGUUGGCGGGGUAACGGCCCACCAAGGCGACGAUCAGUAGGGGUUCUGAGAGGAAGGUCCCCCACAUUGGAACUGAGACACGGUCCAAACUCCUACGGGAGGCAGCAGUGAGGAAUAUUGGUCAAUGGGCGAGAGCCUGAACCAGCCAAGUAGCGUGCAGGAUGACGGCCCUAUGGGUUGUAAACUGCUUUUAUGCGGGGAUAAAGUGGGCCACGCGUGGCCUUUUGCAGGUACCGCAUGAAUAAGGACCGGCUAAUUCCGUG